CAUCGUUCACAUCAUUCUAUCUCCAUCGAUAUAAUAACCUCCUCCACUCACCCUUUUCUUCUAUUCCUCGUGACCUACUAUUGUCCGACGAACAUGACAGAGAAUUUUCAGUGAGCUGAGAAAAGAGAGAAUAUGAGUGAUGGCAAAGGAUAUCUGCAAUUUAUAAAGGAACACUUGGAUUUGAAGUAGAUAAGAGUUGCACGAGAUGGUACCUAGAAGCUACAAAAUAGAGCAUAAAAAGAAGACAUUUCAAGGCCAUAAAAAUUCACAGCUUUAAAUAUUGCAAGGCCAUGAAAAUUCACAACCUUAGACAGUACAAUGCACUAUCCAAACCACUAACUUUGGCUCCCAUGACGAUGCGAGGCCGUAUAGUUUUGGCGCCUCUGAUGGUGCCUUGCACUGUUAUUUCGGCGCCUCUAAUGAUGCCCCUCACUGAUGAUGUCUAUCCAAGCCACUUUAUUUUCCUCUUCAGUUUUGGAUGUGGACUCUUUAGCUCUACCUUAUAAAUACCUCUUAAAGUUAGUUUUUAGAGAGUGAGACAUUAUUUGGGAGGCAAAAGACAGUUGUAACGAUUGUAAGCACCGGAACACAUGAGUUCUUCUUUGU
Nicotiana attenuata is the source of this 606-nucleotide long non-coding RNA. RefSeq lists it as uncharacterized. NCBI's taxonomy places the organism in Eukaryota, Viridiplantae, Streptophyta, Magnoliopsida, Solanales, Solanaceae. The record is from RefSeq and is a predicted model, not a curated record. The transcript is spliced from 2 exons.